UUUGAUGGCGACCGGCGCACGGUGAGUAACACGUAUCCAACCUGCCGAUAACUCGGGGAUAGCCUUUCGAAAGAAAGAUUAAUACCCGAUGGUAUAAUCAGACCGCAUGGUUUGAUUAUUAAAGAAUUUCGGUUAUCGAUGGGGAUGCGUUCCAUUAGGCAGUUGGUGAGGUAACGGCUCACCAAACCUUCGAUGGAUAGGGGUUCUGAGAGGAAGGUCCCCCACAUUGGAACUGAGACACGGUCCAA
RNAcentral lists this ribosomal RNA (248 nucleotides) under uncultured bacterium. RNAcentral describes it as "partial 16S ribosomal RNA". It matches the Rfam family "Bacterial small subunit ribosomal RNA", at positions 84 to 334 of the family's 1533-position model. The record is from RNAcentral.